GUACACAAAGGGAAUGAAGUUCUCCCUGUUCUGAUUAAGACAAACCGCAUAUGCUGAUGACUUCUAUACUUUU
RNAcentral lists this non-coding RNA (73 nucleotides) under Erysipelothrix larvae. RNAcentral's name for it is "Fluoride sequence". It matches the Rfam family "Fluoride riboswitch aptamer (crcB RNA motif)". The record is from Rfam by way of RNAcentral. Lineage: Bacteria; Bacillati; Bacillota; Erysipelotrichia; Erysipelotrichales; Erysipelotrichaceae.